This is a long non-coding RNA of Amblyraja radiata (thorny skate), 310 nucleotides long. RefSeq lists it as uncharacterized. The record is from RefSeq and is a predicted model, not a curated record. Lineage: Eukaryota; Metazoa; Chordata; Chondrichthyes; Rajiformes; Rajidae. The transcript has 3 exons.
UUUAAGAGUGGUCCCCACCUCCAGCAACAGCAGCAGCAGCCAGGUUGAUGUCAGCAGCCUCUCUCUCUCUACCCCCAGUGUAAUGGGAAUUGCAAGCCAUCACUCUCCAGAUUUCCACCCUCCCGCAUGGCAGGGAUGCGGGGGGCUUUGCAGAGACGACUAAUGCAGAAGCAUCUUGCAGCCUGAACCUCUCCCCCACCAUUGCAAGAGGGCCGAAGAGAAUAAAGGAGAGGCUGGAGACCUUCCAUCCAGCCACACACACACACACACAGGCAGUUCCUUGGCUGUCGAGCAGGGAGCAUGUCCCCCA